AAGUCGUAACAAGGUUUCCGUAGGUGAACCUGCGGAAGGAUCAAUACGAAGAGUGGAGAGAGGAGAGGGGAGGAUUUGUUGAAAUACUAGAAGAACUUAUGACAACAUAAUUUUUAACUUUAACAACUCAUAACAAUGGAUCUCUGGGCUCUU
This 153-nucleotide unclassified non-coding RNA is filed under the name fungal sp. RNAcentral describes it as "partial internal transcribed spacer region". The stretch from base 1 to 46 matches the Rfam family "Eukaryotic small subunit ribosomal RNA", at positions 1786 to 1831 of the family's 1831-position model. The record is from RNAcentral. Lineage: Eukaryota; Fungi.